CAACUUUCAACAAUGGAUCUCUUGGCUCUCGCAUCGAUGAAGAACGCAGCGAAAUGCGAUACGUAAUGUGAAUUGCAGAAUUCAGUGAAUCAUCGAAUCUUUGAACGCACCUUGCGCCCCUUGGCAUUCCGAGGGGCACACCCGUUUGAGUGUCGUGA
Molecule: ribosomal RNA, 158 nt
Filed under: Russula earlei
Lineage: Eukaryota; Fungi; Basidiomycota; Agaricomycetes; Russulales; Russulaceae
Also listed under: 1 other name
Description: 5.8S ribosomal RNA
Rfam family: 5.8S ribosomal RNA
About the family: 5.8S ribosomal RNA (5.8S rRNA) is a component of the large subunit of the eukaryotic ribosome. It is transcribed by RNA polymerase I as part of the 45S precursor that also contains 18S and 28S rRNA. Functionally, it is thought that 5.8S rRNA may be involved in ribosome translocation.
Source: RNAcentral